GAGAGAGAGAGAGAAUUUAAAUCAUCAACAAUUAUGACUUACGAAACAACUAAACCAUAAAGGAUUUGCAAAUACCAAAAGACCCCAAAUUGGUGAUAGUGUGCAAGGAAUAUGGGGGCUGUAAGUAUAAAAAAGAGUAACUGAGGCGUGCACCAGCUAACAUAGGUCAAUUUGCCAUAGGAAAUCAGUUAUUGUAGGAUAAUCUGCAUUUCAUUAGAGGGAGGCUAACAACUGCGUAAAUUGAUAUGUUCCUCUUUUUCCCAACAAAAUACUUUGAAUAUGGAAGCUUAUUUAUGAUAACCUGAAGUGUUCCCCUGGAAUCUGCGAGGCCAUAAACAAAUCAAAGAAAUAAGGGAACAGAUGAGGGGGAGGGAAGGGUUCUCAGCAGCAGAUUCCCUCUAAUUUCCAUAAAAAAAAAAAGACCUAAAAUACAUGGGUCAUUUUUUAUUUUCUCUACUGGUUAUACUUGAUUUUAAAAAGCAUAUAAGCUCCACAAGACAUUAUCCAACGACACCCUCAUCAUUUUUCACAUAAAGAGCCCUACUUGCAUGGAUGCAAAAGUUUAAGAGGUAGAGUGAAAUGCAAGUGCCAUUUACAGUUCAUGUCAGGAAUAUUUAUCAUUCAAUAUUUUGUAUGGAAAUUUUUAUAAGUUACAGAAUACAUGCAACACUUCCAAACAGAAACUCUACAAUUGAGAAACAAAUCUAACCAGUAGAAAAUGUAUAAGUCUGUACAAGGUAAACUGCUUCUAAGCAGAUGAACAACAAUGGGAUCUCAAAUCCAAUUUAAAACAUGUAACCUGCAUGCAAGAGAUUAUCAAUAUUAGGUCCUGAACACAUUACACUCAUGACUGAUCUACAAUCUUACUACUUUAGGAAAACAACAAAUAUGCUUGAAAUUCAGUGUUUGGUUCAUUGGCAGCACAGGACUUUCCUAUCUAUCCAUGAUAGAGGCCGCCUCACAUUGAGAAGGGCAAUCCAAUGAGAAACAACCAUUUCACUGGAGCCACGUUUCAAGAUAAGCGCAAUGGAUGAUCUAUAACAUUCAAUUCAAGACCAAAAAGAAGCAAAUGCUAGAUAAUUUAAGAAAAAGUCUCAUCAUUGAAGGUGAAACCAAUUCCUCCCUCUCCAAUUGCACAAGUACUCGGGUUGUGAGGAAUAAAUUGUAAUCAAGACAGAGCAAAUGUGCAUGUUAAAUUAUUAUUCAAAAUCUUAGUGGAAUUUGAAGAGAUAUAUUUAUUCCUGAAGAGAAUAUUUCCUAUAUUUUGUAAUUGAAUGGGAUUCUUAAUUAGAUCAGGGUUUAGGAAAUUAACACUACAAAUAUGAUUCCUAAUUAAAUCGCCCGUGUAUGUAGCCCUGAAUGGAGAGAGUGAACAGUAUUUUACGUGUUUGCUUUAUUUUUUGUAAUUUACACGCUGCACAACAGUGCCUUGCUAUUGGUAUGGUCCAAUCAGAUUAUUUGAAUCAGGAAGCAACCAAUGGAGCAAUUAAUAAGGUGAUUAAAAUUAUUCCUAGGAUUUCAUUUAUAGAAAAGACUUCCCUUCGGAAUGAACUUGAGGCCAGGUAAACAGGGUGUAUCAGGUAAACAUGAAUAUGAAUCAGAAAUUCUGAAGAAAAAAUGCAAAAAAUGUUUUUCUUUCAUAAUGCUAAGAACUUGCAUGAAAUUAGUAGAAAAUAGGAAACAUUACAUCAAUAAGUGGGAAAUAUUACCUUGAACCUGUGCUUCAAGAAACAAGCUACUGGGCCACUUUUCAAAGAGUAUAUAGCAUCUACCCAUGACUUCUAGGAUCAACAACUUGAUGCACUUUCCUGGAUUCAGUACUUGAAUAUCGUCCAACAACACGAGAAUGAGGAACACUUGCUUCCCCAUGGGCAAGAGAAUCCACAUUCUCAAGGAGGUAUUGCCUGGGAAAUCUGCCAACUACAUUACCCUCUUCAUUCCCGUCUUUGUCGAGGAAUGCAAAGUGUGGAAUACCUUCAACACCAAACUCAUCAAGCUCUUGUUCCCACUUUGUGUUGUCAACAUUCAGCAUAACAAAAUUAACACGAUCCUUGUACUGCUGCUCAACUUUGUAAACGUCUGGAGCUAACUCCCGACACACUUCACACCAAUCUGCAUAGAACUCCACAACCGUGGGCUUCCCAUUUGAGAGAGCCUCUUCGUAAGGUAUAGCAGCAGCCGAGAGAUCCUUUAACGAAACACCCAAAUCCAGCCGUGCCGAUAAGAAAAGUCCCACCGCCACAACCACAGAAACCGCUGCUAUUUGCUUAUUUACAUCUUUAUUUGGAAAU
This 2291-nucleotide unclassified non-coding RNA is filed under the name Hevea brasiliensis (rubber tree). Lineage: Eukaryota; Viridiplantae; Streptophyta; Magnoliopsida; Malpighiales; Euphorbiaceae. The record is from RNAcentral.